This 73-nucleotide transfer RNA is filed under the name Candidatus Saccharibacteria bacterium 32-49-12. RNAcentral describes it as "tRNA-Trp". It matches the Rfam family "tRNA". Rfam says of the family: Transfer RNA (tRNA) molecules are approximately 80 nucleotides in length. Lineage: Bacteria; Candidatus Saccharimonadota. The record is from RNAcentral.
CGGUGCGUAGCUCAGCGGUAGAGCACCCCAACCACAGUUGGGGAGGACGCUGGUUCGAAUCCAGUCGUGCCGA